RNAcentral lists this transfer RNA (71 nucleotides) under Loxodonta africana (African savanna elephant). It matches the Rfam family "tRNA". From Rfam's summary of the family: Transfer RNA (tRNA) molecules are approximately 80 nucleotides in length. Their secondary structure includes four short double-helical elements and three loops (D, anti-codon, and T loops). Further hydrogen bonds mediate the characteristic L-shaped molecular structure. tRNAs have two regions of fundamental functional importance: the anti-codon, which is responsible for specific mRNA codon recognition, and the 3' end, to which the tRNAs corresponding amino acid is attached (by aminoacyl-tRNA synthetases). tRNAs cope with the degeneracy of the genetic code in two manners: having more than one tRNA (with a specific anti-codon) for a particular amino acid; and 'wobble' base-pairing, i.e. permitting non-standard base-pairing at the 3rd anti-codon position. The record is from Rfam by way of RNAcentral. Lineage: Eukaryota; Metazoa; Chordata; Mammalia; Proboscidea; Elephantidae.
ACCGUGGGGGUCCAGUGGUAGAAUUCUCGCCUUUCAUGCAGGAGACCUGGGUUUGAUUCCCAGCCAAAGCA